Molecule: ribosomal RNA, 1749 nt
Filed under: Salmonella enterica
Lineage: Bacteria; Pseudomonadati; Pseudomonadota; Gammaproteobacteria; Enterobacterales; Enterobacteriaceae
Description: partial 23S ribosomal RNA
Rfam family: Bacterial large subunit ribosomal RNA
Source: RNAcentral
GUCGGCCUGCGCGGAAGAUGUAACGGGGCUAAACCAUGCACCGAAGCUGCGGCAGCGAACGUAUCACUUAAAGCGAUUCAGCGGGUUACGAUUGACGGAGCGAAGCGACGUCAAAGCGUAUACAAAGUCGAGUCGGUUUAAGGAUACGUUCGUUGGGUAGGGGAGCGUUCUGUAAGCCUGUGAAGGUGUGUCGUGAGGCAUGCUGGAGGUAUCAGAAGUGCGAAUGCUGACAUAAGUAACGAUAAAGCGGGUGAAAAGCCCGCUCGCCGGAAGACCAAGGGUUCCUGUCCAACGUUAAUCGGGGCAGGGUGAGUCGACCCCUAAGGCGAGGCCGAAAGGCGUAGUCGAUGGGAAACGGGUUAAUAUUCCCGUACUUGGUGUUACUGCGAAGGGGGGACGGAGAAGGCUAUGUUGGCCGGGCGACGGUUGUCCCGGUUUAAGCGUGUAGGUGUGUGUUCCAGGUAAAUCCGGUUCACUUUAACACUGAGGCGUGACGACGAGGCACUACGGUGCUGAAGCAACAAAUGCCCUGCUUCCAGGAAAAGCCUCUAAGCAUCAGGUAACAUCAAAUCGUACCCCAAACCGACACAGGUGGUCAGGUAGAGAAUACCAAGGCGCUUGAGAGAACUCGGGUGAAGGAACUAGGCAAAAUGGUGCCGUAACUUCGGGAGAAGGCACGCUGACACGUAGGUGAAGUGAUUUACUCAUGGAGCUGAAGUCAGUCGAAGAUACCAGCUGGCUGCAACUGUUUAUUAAAAACACAGCACUGUGCAAACACGAAAGUGGACGUAUACGGUGUGACGCCUGCCCGGUGCCGGAAGGUUAAUUGAUGGGGUCAGCGCAAGCGAAGCUCCUGAUCGAAGCCCCGGUAAACGGCGGCCGUAACUAUAACGGUCCUAAGGUAGCGAAAUUCCUUGUCGGGUAAGUUCCGACCUGCACGAAUGGCGUAAUGAUGGCCAGGCUGUCUCCACCCGAGACUCAGUGAAAUUGAACUCGCUGUGAAGAUGCAGUGUACCCGCGGCAAGACGGAAAGACCCCGUGAACCUUUACUAUAGCUUGACACUGAACAUUGAGCCUUGAUGUGUAGGAUAGGUGGGAGGCUUUGAAGUGUGGACGCCAGUCUGCAUGGAGCCGACCUUGAAAUACCACCCUUUAAUGUUUGAUGUUCUAACGUGGACCCGUGAUCCGGGUUGCGGACAGUGUCUGGUGGGUAGUUUGACUGGGGCGGUCUCCUCCUAAAGAGUAACGGAGGAGCACGAAGGUUGGCUAAUCCUGGUCGGACAUCAGGAGGUUAGUGCAAUGGCAUAAGCCAGCUUGACUGCGAGCGUGACGGCGCGAGCAGGUGCGAAAGCAGGUCAUAGUGAUCCGGUGGUUCUGAAUGGAAGGGCCAUCGCUCAACGGAUAAAAGGUACUCCGGGGAUAACAGGCUGAUACCGCCCAAGAGUUCAUAUCGACGGCGGUGUUUGGCACCUCGAUGUCGGCUCAUCACAUCCUGGGGCUGAAGUAGGUCCCAAGGGUAUGGCUGUUCGCCAUUUAAAGUGGUACGCGAGCUGGGUUUAGAACGUCGUGAGACAGUUCGGUCCCUAUCUGCCGUGGGCGCUGGAGAACUGAGGGGGGCUGCUCCUAGUACGAGAGGACCGGAGUGGACGCAUCACUGGUGUUCGGGUUGUCAUGCCAAUGGCACUGCCCGGUAGCUAAAUGCGGAAGAGAUAAGUGCUGAAAGCAUCUAAGCACGAAACUUGCCCCGAG